Molecule: ribosomal RNA, 460 nt
Filed under: uncultured bacterium
Lineage: Bacteria
Description: partial 16S ribosomal RNA
Rfam family: Bacterial small subunit ribosomal RNA
Source: RNAcentral
CCUACGGGGGGCAGCAGUGAGGAAUAUUGGUCAAUGGACGAGAGUCUGAACCAGCCAAGCAGCGUGAAUGAUGACUGCCCUAUGGGUGGUAAACUUCUUUUAUAUGGGAAUAAAAUGUUCCACGUGUGGGAUUUUGUAUGUACCAUAUGAAUAAGGAUCGGCUAACUCCGUGCCAGCAGCCGCGGUAAUACGGAGGAUCCGAGCGUUAUCCGGUUUUAUUGGGUUUAAAGGGAGCGUAGGUGGAUUGUUAAGUCAGUUGUGAAAGUUUGCGGCUCAACCGUAAAAUUGCAGUUGAAACUGGCAGUCUUGAGUACAGUAGAGGUGUGCGGAAUUCGUGGUGUAGCGGUGAAAUGCGUAGAUAUCACGAAGAACUCCGAUUGCGAAGGCAGUUCACUGGACUGCAACUGACGCUGAGGUUCGAAAGUGUGGGUAUCAAACAGGAUUAGAUACCCUUGUAGUC